This 693-nucleotide long non-coding RNA is filed under the name Ictidomys tridecemlineatus (thirteen-lined ground squirrel). Its description in RNAcentral is "lncRNA (ENSSTOG00000029578.1)". Lineage: Eukaryota; Metazoa; Chordata; Mammalia; Rodentia; Sciuridae. The record is from RNAcentral.
CUCUAGAGAAAAAAAAAAAAAAAAAAAAACAGCUGAAGAAAAGACUGAACAACGAGGAAAAGGGGUGUCAGAAGGCUUUGUCCCCACAACCAGUGAGGACAUCCUGAGUGCUGGGUCUGGAAUGCAGAAAGGGAGCAAGAGGCAACCGAUAACAGAUGCUGGGAUUUAGCCACCCCCUUCCUUUCUAUGCCUGCACCAAUUCCCUAGGGGCCCAGGGUCAGAAGCUUUGAUUGGGCUCAUCGUUCCAAGUUGACAGCUGCACGUUUGUUCUUGUCUGAGUCUCUUGCUGCUUCUCAACCUGGCCUCCCGAAGAUGGACUCAUCCAAAGCCUGACAUGGAGACUGAAACUUAGGGUAUUCAUCUCUGUCAUCAUCUACAUUCACUUAUUUAUUGGGUGCUGACUACAGGCUCCAAGAAACAGUCGGACCACUGAAAGCUAUGCAGCUAGCUCCAUCUGAAUAGGCCUGCUCCAAUUUUCCAACUCAGGACUAUUUUUUCUCACCUGUCCCUGUCUUCUCUGUUACUCAAAUUCUUUUGGGGGUGAAAAAAUGGAAACACAAAGUAGGUAAAACCAAAUAUGAUUUAGGUUGAAAAGCAAUCAAUUGAAAAUUCCUGUAUGCAGAACCAUUGUCUUAUUUAAAUAUAUUUACUUUUUACAUUUUAAAAAUUGCUCAUCAAAGUUUAUUCUACCAC